RNAcentral lists this ribosomal RNA (985 nucleotides) under uncultured bacterium. Its description in RNAcentral is "bacterial SSU rRNA". It matches the Rfam family "Bacterial small subunit ribosomal RNA", at positions 505 to 1501 of the family's 1533-position model. The record is from RNAcentral.
GUGCCAGCCGCCGCGGUAAUACGGAGGGUGCAAGCGUUAUCCGGAUUUAUUGGGUUUAAAGGGUGCGUAGGCGGUAGGAUAAGUCAGUGGUGAAAAUCUGCAGCUCAACUGUAGGGGUGCCAUUGAAACUGUUUUACUUGAGUAACCAUGAGGUAGGCGGAAUGUGUAGUGUAGCGGUGAAAUGCUUAGAUAUUACACAGAACACCGAUUGCGUAGGCAGCUUACCAGCGGUUCACUGACGCUGAUGCACGAAAGCGUGGGGAUCAAACAGGAUUAGAUACCCUGGUAGUCCACGCCGUAAACGAUGAUAACUCGCUGUUGGCGAUACACAGUCAGCGGCUUAGCGAAAGCGUUAAGUUAUCCACCUGGGGAGUACGCUCGCAAGAGUGAAACUCAAAGGAAUUGACGGGAGCCCGCACAAGCGGAGGAACAUGUGGUUUAAUUCGAUGAUACGCGAGGAACCUUACCUGGGCUUAAAUGUGGAGUGACUGCUGGUGAAAGCCGGUUUUCCGCAAGGACGCUCUACAAGGUGCUGCAUGGUUGUCGUCAGCUCGUGCCGUGAGGUGUCGGGUUAAGUCCCAUAACGAGCGCAACCCUUAUGAUUAGUUGCUAACAGGUCAGGCUGAGGACUCUAGUCAGACUGCCACCGUAAGGUGUGAGGAAGGUGGGGAUGACGUCAAAUCAGCACGGCCCUUAUGUCCAGGGCUACACACGUGUUACAAUGGCCGAUACAGAGGGCAGCGACCAAGUGAUUGGGAGCUAAUCCGGAAAAGUCGGUCUCAGUUCGGAUCGGAGUCUGCAACCCGACUCCGUGAAGCUGGAUUCGCUAGUAAUCGCGCAUCAGCCAUGGCGCGGUGAAUACGUUCCCGGGCCUUGUACACACCGCCCGUCAAACCAUGGGAGCCGAGGGUACCUGAAGUCUGUGACCGCGAGGAGCGGCCUAGGGUAAAAUUGGUGACUAGGGUUAAGUCGUAACAAGGUAACC